CGGGGUGUGGCUCAGCUUGGUAGAGCGCGUCGUUCGGGACGACGAGGUCGCAGGUUCGAAUCCUGUCACCCCGA
This 74-nucleotide transfer RNA is filed under the name Butyrivibrio sp. RNAcentral describes it as "tRNA-Pro". It matches the Rfam family "tRNA". Rfam says of the family: Transfer RNA (tRNA) molecules are approximately 80 nucleotides in length. Their secondary structure includes four short double-helical elements and three loops (D, anti-codon, and T loops). The record is from RNAcentral. Lineage: Bacteria; Bacillati; Bacillota; Clostridia; Lachnospirales; Lachnospiraceae. RNAcentral also lists the same sequence under 1 other name.